Molecule: non-coding RNA, 67 nt
Organism: Gossypium hirsutum (cotton)
Lineage: Eukaryota; Viridiplantae; Streptophyta; Magnoliopsida; Malvales; Malvaceae
Source: Rfam
AUGCAAGUGAUGGAUGCUCGGAUUCCCCUUGACAUCAUGGAUGGUGCAAUACUGAGAUUCAGAUGCU